ACGUGCGUCAGGCCCCGACUUUUCGGAAGGGGUGUGCUUAUUAGAUUUAAACCCAUGCCCGCAAGGGUCUGUUGGUGAUUCAUAGUAAUCAUUCGGACGUCGAGUUUUCGACGCGAUUCAUUCAAAUUUCUGCCCUAUCAGCUUUUGAUGGUAGUGUAGUGGACUACCAUGGCGUUCACGGGUAACGGGGAAUUAGGGUUCGAUUCCGGAGAAGGAGCCUGAGAAACGGCUACUACAUCCAAGGAAGGCAGCAGGCGCGCAAAUUACCCACUCCUGACCCAGGGAGGUAGUGACAAGAAAUCCUGAUGCUGAGCGCUCUCAUGUGCUUAGUAAUCGGAAUGAGAGGUAGUUAAAUCUCGCUAUCGAAUGCUAAAAGAGGACAAGUCUGGUGCCAGCACCCGCGGUAAUUCCAGCUCUUUUAGCGUACAUUAUCAUUGUUGCAGUUAAAAAGCUCGUAGUUGGAUUUUUUCUUCUAGUUGCUCGGUUCUCCGCGGCGGCAUUUGUCGUCGUGUGAGAGCUGGCCGGAGACAUUUCUCGUCGUUCGUCGUGGCAACACGGCGGAAGGCGAAAUUACUUUGAGAAAAAUAGAGUGUUCCAAGCAGGCGUCACGCCACGAAUACUUCAGCAUGGAAUAAAACCAACGGGCUUUCGUCCUUUUGGUGGGUUCUGGACCAAGUCAUGAUUGAUAGGGACGGUUGGGGGUGCUCGUAUUCCGGGGCCAGAGGUGAAAUUCUUGGAUUCUCGGAAGACGAACAACUGCGAAAGCAUUCACCAAGGACGUUUUCUUUAAUCAAGAACGAAAGUUGGGGGAUCGAAGACGAUCAGAUACCGUCGUAGUCUCAACCAUAAACGAUGCCAACUGAGAAUUCUUUCCAGUCUCUCGUGGGACACGUGCCGCAAGGUAACGGCCCACGAAUCGACGGAAGGGGCGCUCUGUGAGAAAUCAAAGUUUUCGGGUUCCGGGGAGAGUAUUGUCGCAAGGCACAAAUUUAAAGGAAUUGAUGGGAGUUUAUCAUCGGGAAUGGAUUGUGCGGCUCAAAUUGACCCAACACGGGAAAACUUACCAGGUCCGUACAGAGUGAGGAGAAACAGACUGAAGUUCUUUUUUGAUUCUUUGGGUGGUGGUGCAUGGCCGUUCUUAGUUGGUGGUGUGGACUGUCUGGUUAAUUCCGUUAACGAACGAGACUUCUACCCC
RNAcentral lists this ribosomal RNA (1195 nucleotides) under metagenome. RNAcentral's name for it is "bacterial SSU rRNA". It matches the Rfam family "Eukaryotic small subunit ribosomal RNA", at positions 169 to 1350 of the family's 1831-position model. The record is from RNAcentral.